This 354-nucleotide unclassified non-coding RNA is filed under the name soil metagenome. RNAcentral describes it as "partial contains 5.8S ribosomal RNA, internal transcribed spacer 2, and large subunit ribosomal RNA". The stretch from base 1 to 120 matches the Rfam family "5.8S ribosomal RNA", at positions 35 to 154 of the family's 154-position model. The record is from RNAcentral.
GAUGAAGAACGCAGUGAAACGCGAUAUGUAAUGUGAAUUGCAGAAUUCAGUGAAUCAUCGAAUCUUUGAACGCACAUGGCGCCUUCCAGUAUCCUGGGAGGCAUGCCUGUCCGAGCGUCGUUUCAACCCUCGAGCCCCCGUGGCCCGGCGUUGGGGAUCUGCCCAGGCAGUCCCCGAAAACCAGUGGCGGACCCGAUACAGGCCCUUCCCUUGCGUAGUAGCAUUCGCCUCGCAUCGGGAGCCGGCGGGCUUCCAGCCUCUAAACCCCCAUCAAGUCCGCCCCGGCGGCACCAAGGUUGACCUCGGAUCAGGUAGGAAUACCCGCUGAACUUAAGCAUAUCAAUAAGCGGAGGA